Non-coding RNA from Cicer arietinum (chickpea), 922 nucleotides. Lineage: Eukaryota; Viridiplantae; Streptophyta; Magnoliopsida; Fabales; Fabaceae. The record is from RefSeq and is a predicted model, not a curated record.
AAGACUAGGUUCAGUCGAUCUAGAAGUUGACCUUGAAAAUAGAGGAGAUAACAGCUCCGUGCUCAUGAUUUCUAUGCAAGAUAUUUAUGUACGAUUUGUCUUUACAAGUUUUUACUGCACAGUCUCCAUAUGGCGUCAUUUAUUGAGUCGGGAGACUAGGAUUUAUCUGCAUCUGCAUUAUCCGGUUGAAACUUGUUGGAAUAAAAUAAAAAUAAAGGCUUCAAUGGCUUAGGGUGACAAUUGUUGGAGAAGACUUGUUUUAUUGAAGAGUUGGUUCUCAUGGUGGGAGUCACAAGAAUGAUAUGGCAAAUGAAUUAACUUCUUUCGAAGGAAAAUACUACUAGGAUGACAAAAUUAUAAGAGAUUUUCUCUGUAUUUAUGUAGGAGAGAAGAACUGCUGUAUUGCAUUAAAAUAUGUGCAAUGUUAUUAGUAUAUGCACAUGCUUAGUUCAGUUAUAUUGCAGUAAGUUAUGUGCAAUGUAAUUAGUAUAUAAAUUGUAACAUUUCAGUUUCACACGUUCUCUCAGCUUAUCCCUCUACUUUUUACCGAUUGUCGUCUUCCUUGGUUGUAGUUCAUUAACUUCUAAAGCCAUGCUCAAAAUCUAAGAUCUGUAGGAGUGUGUGCCACAACCUUUCGGUUUUUGCUCCUUCAUUUAUAAGACUAAAUUUCCUCUUCAGAUGGUACAAUUCCCGGAUGCGAGUCUCUUAUCAUCAACUAUGUUGUCAAUAGCCCCUUUUAGCGCCGCUAGCACGGCGGCAUGUGGCAGUUGUUGGCCGCCCCCUCACGCAGCAUACCCUCUCAGCAUGGAGUAGCAGUUGUGGCAGCCGCAUUGACAGCUGCUUUCACAUCUUAGUUCGUGUGUUUUGCGGCGCUUUUGUUGCACGAUAGGUUUGUGAAGAAGAAAGGGGGAAGGAAAAUCCA